This 497-nucleotide ribosomal RNA is filed under the name uncultured bacterium. RNAcentral describes it as "partial 16S ribosomal RNA". It matches the Rfam family "Bacterial small subunit ribosomal RNA", at positions 28 to 507 of the family's 1533-position model. The record is from RNAcentral.
GAUGAACGCUGGCGGCGUGCCUAAUACAUGCAAGUCGAGCGAACGGACGAGAAGCUUGCUUCUCUGAUGUUAGCGGCGGACGGGUGAGUAACACGUGGAUAACCUACCUAUAAGACUGGGAUAACUUCGGGAAACCGGAGCUAAUACCGGAUAAUAUUUUGAACCGCAUGGUUCAAAAGUGAAAGACGGUCUUGCUGUCACUUAUAGAUGGAUCCGCGCUGCAUUAGCUAGUUGGUAAGGUAACGGCUUACCAAGGCAACGAUGCAUAGCCGACCUGAGAGAGUGAUCGGCCACACGGGAACUGAGACACGGUCCAGACGCCUACGGGAGGCAGCAGUAGGGAAUCGUCCGCAAUGGGCGAAAGCCUGACGGAGCAACGCCGCGUGAGUGAUGAAGGUCUUCGGAUCGUAAAACUCUGUUAUUAGGGAAGAACAUAUGUGUAAGUAACUGUGCACAUCUUGACGGUACCUAAUCAGAAAGCCACGGCUAACUACGUG